UACCAGCACCCCGAGUGGUCGGGACGAUUAUUGGGCCUAAAGCAUCCGUAGCCGGUUCUGCAAGUCCCCCGUUAAAUCCAGCUGCUCAACAGAUGGGCCGCGGAGGAUACUACAGAGCUAGGAGGCAGGAGAGGCAAGCGGUACUCAGUGGGUAGGGGUAAAAUCCGUUGAUCCAUUGAAGGCCACCAGUGGCGAAGGCGGCUUGCCAGAAUGCGCUCGACGGUGAGGGAUGAAAGCUGGGGGAGCAAACGGG
RNAcentral lists this ribosomal RNA (253 nucleotides) under uncultured bacterium. RNAcentral's name for it is "partial 16S ribosomal RNA". It matches the Rfam family "Archaeal small subunit ribosomal RNA", at positions 474 to 727 of the family's 1478-position model. The record is from RNAcentral.